GAUGAACGCUGGCGGCGUGCCUAAUACAUGCAAGUCGAGCGAACGGACGAGAAGCUUGCUUCUCUGAUGUUAGCGGCGGACGGGUGAGUAACACGUGGAUAACCUACCUAUAAGACUGGGAUAACUUCGGGAAACCGGAGCUAAUACCGGAUAAUAUUUUGAACCGCAUGGUUCAAAAGUGAAAGACGGUCUUGCUGUCACUUAUAGAUGGAUCCGCGCUGCAUUAGCUAGUUGGUAAGGUAACGGCUUACCAAGGCAACGAUGCAUAGCCGACCUGAGAGGGUGAUCGGCCACACUGGAACUGAGACACGGUACAGACUCCUACGGGAGGCAGCAGUAGGGAAUCUUCCGCAAUGGGCGAAAGCCUGACGGAGCAACGCCGCGUGAGUGAUGAAGGUCUUCGGAUCGUAAAACUCUGUUAUUAGGGAAGAACAUAUGUGUAAGUAACUGUGCACAUCUUGACGGUACCUAAUCAGAAAGCCACGGCUAACUACGU
Molecule: ribosomal RNA, 496 nt
Filed under: uncultured bacterium
Lineage: Bacteria
Description: partial 16S ribosomal RNA
Rfam family: Bacterial small subunit ribosomal RNA
Source: RNAcentral